Molecule: long non-coding RNA, 842 nt
Organism: Macaca mulatta (Rhesus monkey)
Lineage: Eukaryota; Metazoa; Chordata; Mammalia; Primates; Cercopithecidae
Source: RefSeq, a predicted model, not a curated record
UUAUAGAAUAAAACCAGGGGUAGGGAUCCAUAAGAGAUAGUGCAGUGGCCCAGGCUAGCGACAAAGGAGCGGUUACCACCCCCAGGCCUGAAGCGUUGAGGGAAGAGAGGAGGUUCCAGAAUCCAGAAGGAAAGAGUUAUGCAGAUGGAGCUGCCUUGAGAGCAGCAGUGACCUUCAGUUGGAGGACACAGGCAGUCAGACAGGACCGCACAACGAGCCGAGGCCAUCAGCAGCCUGCACUCACUCCUCUUCCCCUUCAGUCUCUUUCUGAGGCAGGAGUCUGUUGGAUACAACCAGGGCAGGCUGUUGGACUCAAAGAGGAGGCUGCUGAGGAGUUUCAUCCAGGAAUGUUCCAGACAUUGCAAAUAAGAAGAGUGAAGGAUGACAGAUCAAUUAGCUGAGAGAUAAAAAAUGAGAAGACUGGGGGGACAUUGGUACUGGAAAAUUUCACUUACCUGAGCAGCCAGGAUCCAGGGGAAGCUGACGUUGAAGAGAGGAUAAAUACAAAGUGUUUCCUGGUGCCUUUACUAAUGUGGCAAUAGAAAGAACAAGCUCAAGAAAUUCAAUCAAAGUUGCAGAUAAUAGCAACUUCCCAUUGCUUUAAAAAGUAAUAAUAACCACAACACACUAUGAGAUAAAGCUCCAGGAGAAACAAUAAAGAGAAGAAAUGCACCUUUGAGAGUUGGGGUUCUAAAUGGCAAUAAUCACUUGCCAAAGAUUAUCGUGUGACUAUUAGCCACAACUAUUCCUCAUCCAGCAAGAGCUGAGGAUCAUAAGGCCAUCAGAGAUUCAUCCUGUGUGAAAGGUAAAUAUCUGAGUGGAAUGGCUGGAUCAUAUGGUAG